AACGUAGGUGGCAAGCGUUAUCCGGAAUUACUGGGCGUAAAGCGUGCGCAGGCGGUUGUGCAAGACCGAUGUGAAAUCCCCGGGCUUAACCUGGGAAUGGCAUUGGUGACUGCACGGCUAGAGUGUGUCAGAGGGGGGUAGAAUUCCACGUGUAGCAGUGAAAUGCGUAGAGAUGUGGAGGAAUACCGAUGGCGAAGGCAGCCCCCUGGGAUAACACUGACGCUCAUGCACGAAAGCGUGGGGAGCAAACAGG
RNAcentral lists this ribosomal RNA (253 nucleotides) under uncultured bacterium. RNAcentral describes it as "partial 16S ribosomal RNA". It matches the Rfam family "Bacterial small subunit ribosomal RNA", at positions 524 to 776 of the family's 1533-position model. The record is from RNAcentral.